This 406-nucleotide ribosomal RNA is filed under the name uncultured bacterium. Its description in RNAcentral is "partial 16S ribosomal RNA". It matches the Rfam family "Bacterial small subunit ribosomal RNA", at positions 29 to 526 of the family's 1533-position model. The record is from RNAcentral.
AUUGAACGCUGGUGGCAGGCCUAACACAUGCAAGUCGAACGAGUGGCGGACGGGUGAGUAAUGUCUGGGAAAGUGCCUGAUGGAGGGGGAUAACUACGGGAAACGGUAGCUAAUACCGCAUACCCUCGGAAGUGCCCAGAUGGGAUUAGCUAGUAGGGGGGGUAAAGGCUAACCUAGGCGACGAUCCCUAGCUGGUCUGAGAGGAUGACCAGCCACACUGGGACUGAGACACGGUCCAGACUCCUACGGGAGGCAGCAGUGGGGAAUAUGGCACAAUGGGCGCAAGCCUGAUGCAGCCAUGCCGCGUGUAUGAAGAAGGCCUUCGGGUUGUAAAGUACUUUCAGCGGGGAGGCGUUACCCACAGAAGAAGCACCGGCUAACUCCGUGCCAGCAGCCGCGGUAAUAC